CACGUAGGGUGCGAGCGUUGUCCGGAAUUAUUGGGCGUAAAGAGCUCGUAGGCGGUGUGUCGCGUCGGCCGUGAAAACCCACAGCUCAACUGUGGGCUUGCGGUUGAUACUGCUGUGACUGGAGUCCGGUAGGGGAGCGUGGAAUUCCUGGUGUAGCGGUGAAAUGCGCAGAUAUCAGGAGGAACACCAGCGGCGAAGGCGGCGCUCUGGGCCGGUACUGACACUGAGGAGCGAAAGCGUGGGUAGCAAACAGG
RNAcentral lists this ribosomal RNA (254 nucleotides) under uncultured bacterium. RNAcentral describes it as "partial 16S ribosomal RNA". It matches the Rfam family "Bacterial small subunit ribosomal RNA", at positions 524 to 776 of the family's 1533-position model. The record is from RNAcentral.